Molecule: transfer RNA, 69 nt
Filed under: Heterocephalus glaber (naked mole-rat)
Lineage: Eukaryota; Metazoa; Chordata; Mammalia; Rodentia; Bathyergidae
Rfam family: tRNA
About the family: Transfer RNA (tRNA) molecules are approximately 80 nucleotides in length. Their secondary structure includes four short double-helical elements and three loops (D, anti-codon, and T loops).
Source: Rfam by way of RNAcentral
UGGAGUGUAGCUCAGUGGUAGAGCCAAUGCCUGAUAAGCAAUUCCUGGGUUCAAUCCCCAACACCACAA